GACGAACGCUGGCGGCGUGCCUAAUACAUGCAAGUAGAACGCACAGUUUAUACCGUAGCUUGCUACACCAUAGACUGUGAGUUGCGAACGGGUGAGUAACGCGUAGGUAACCUGCCUGGUAGCGGGGGAUAACUAUUGGAAACGAUAGCUAAUACCGCAUAAUAUUAAUUAUUGCAUGAUAAUUAAUUGAAAGGUGCAAUUGCACCACUACCAGAUGGACCUGCGUUGUAUUAGCUAGUAGGUGAGGUAACGGCUCACCUAGGCGACGAGACAUAGCCGACCUGGGAGGGGGAUUGGCCAACCUGGGAACGAGACACGGCCCAGACUUCUUAGGGAAGGAGCCGGAGGGAAUCUUCGGCAAUGGGAGGAAGGCUGAACGGAGAAAGCCGGGGGAGUGAAGAAGGGUUUCGGGUCGUAAAGGUCUGUUGUAAGGGAAGAACGGGUGGGAGAGUGGAAAGUUCACACUGUGACGGUAUCUUACCAGAAAGCGACGGCUAACUACGUG
Molecule: ribosomal RNA, 505 nt
Filed under: uncultured bacterium
Lineage: Bacteria
Description: partial 16S ribosomal RNA
Rfam family: Bacterial small subunit ribosomal RNA
Source: RNAcentral